RNAcentral lists this long non-coding RNA (2334 nucleotides) under Pelobates cultripes (western spadefoot toad). Lineage: Eukaryota; Metazoa; Chordata; Amphibia; Anura; Pelobatidae. The record is from RNAcentral.
AUAUUAGAGUGGAUUGUGUACAGUUAUUGAAUUCAUAUGGUGAAUAGCAUAGUAUUUCUUGUAUGAAUUAUAAGAUUAAUACAUUAAUAGUGACUUUUGAGUGGUAGAGUGGAAGUAUUUACAUGUAUUUUAUGGCCAGAUAUUGCAGAUUAUAAAUGGAACGCAAAACAACGAGGUUGGAACGCACAUUACUUCCGGUUCCGUCAACGUGGUUGGAACGCAUGCCACUUCCGGUUUAUUCAACGCAGUCGGAACGCAUGGCACUUCCGUGCCGGUAGUUGUCGGAGGACUAUUGAACAAUUCCGAAAUCAGCUGUGAACACUUGGAGCCGCGAUCGGCAACAGAUGAACCCUAUUAAUGGAGGACCAAUGAGGAGAGUCUGAGGAUAACAUGUGACUAAAUUAAGAUGAGGGAUUAGCCCUAUUUAAAGGACUUUUCGGGUGGGGAUUUGUUAGGCUGUUCUUUGAUUGUAUUGUAUCAAAUUGUUUCUUAAUAUUGUGGUCCCUGAGGAAGUCCCUAUUUUGUUAAAGGGACGAAACGCGUAGGACCUUAUUUAUAUUUAUUUUAUUCCUUUUUAAACAUAUUUUAAUAUUGAAUUAAAGCCAAUUUUCCAAACUUCACCCGGAGUCCUGUGUUGGAGUGAAAACAUCCAGGGGAUUUCCCUAGGCCCCCCAUACUAUCGGGGAAGGCACCUUACAAGCUUCAAUUUGUCCAAAAUCCAGUGAGUGCAUUUCAAUUUGCGCAAUGUCUAUACUGUAAACUGUAUUACACUAUAUUCUAUUUACUUUUGUAGAGAUUAUCAGCCGGUUCCCUCGUUGUUUUUUCUACAUUUUGCUGUCAAGUUGAUCGCUAGCUGGGAAGCGAUCUGAGGGAGGCUGUAUUCAUCUUCAUUUGAUAAGUAUCUUUUGCAUAUAUAUUAAGGUGUAUAAGGUACAUUAUUGUUGGUUGUUUUUUAAUAUAUAUGGUAAUGUCUGAUGAAAGUAUUGGCAAAGGACCAAGUGGCAGCUCUACAAAUCAGUUUAGGAGAGACCUUGGCGGAUGAGGCCCAAGAGGAGGAGAGGGAUCUCGUGGAAUGAGCUUUGAGUCCAUGCGGGACUGGAGCUUUUGAGGCCUGAUAAGCUUGGAAGAUGGCUGAUACAAUCCAUCUGCUAAUGGUAGAUUUAGGAGCCUGACUGCCCUUUCUACAUCCGUUAUAAAAGGACAAAGAGGCCUGGAGAUGAACGCCAAGGGGCGGUUCUGUCAAUGUAGAUUCUGAGGCAUCUCACCAAAUCCAAGGAGGAAAGAUCUCCUUGUGGAACUGGAUGCAGAGCUGGGAGAACAAUUUCCUUAGGCCAAAAUUCUGGGAUAGUACGAAGGACGACCCUGUCCUUAUGGAAGACUGUGAAAGGCUCCUUGACAAAGCAUAAAGUUCUGAGACCCUUCUGCCUGAGGCCAAAGCCACCAGUAAGGCAGUUUUAACAGAGAGGAAAUGGAAAGGCACUGAAUCCAAAGGUUCAAAGGGGUGAGACUUUAGAGCUUGGAGAACCAGAGGCAAGUCCCAAGGUGGAGCGAACGGCUUAAUCGGAGGUCUGAUUUUUAGUACAGCUUUAAGAAACCUGGCCACGUCCGAAUCAAAGGUCCAUUUAUGGUUAGUUAAAGCCGACAAGGCAGAUACGUGAACCUUCAAGGUGUUGUAGCUCAGACCCUUCUUGAGGCUGGACUGAAGAAAGUCUAAGAUAUUGAAGGACCCUGGAUCGAGACAUCCCUCGAGGAAGCCCAGGAAGAGAAAACAUCCCAGAUUCCAUAGUAUGCGUUCGAAGUGGAACUUAGAAUGGGAAAAUUCAGGAGGAAAUCACCAGUAGCUGGAAAGGGAGUCCCUCCCCAUGGCUAGAGGAUCAUUGUCCUUCGUGAAGAAACACUCCACCUUCCUGUUCUUUCGUGUCGCAAACAAGUCUACUUGAGGAAGGUCCCAUCUGUCCACUAUCAUUCGGAACACAUCAUCCGACAUAGACCACUCUCCCGGAUCGAUUCUGGAUCUGCUGAGGAAAUCCGCGAUCUGAUACUGUUUCCCCGGGAGAUUAAUUGCUGUGAGGCCUGCCAGGCGUCGUUAAGACCAUGACAUCAACUGAUGCAUAAACACCAUCAUCCUGCGGCUCCUAGUGCCACCCUGAUGGUUGAUGUAGGCUACCACCGCAGCAUUGUCUGACCGAAUCUUCACCCAAAGGUGACGAAUUAACGGAGAGAAAUAUUUCAGUGCUUCGAGAACAGCAAAGAGUUCCAGGAGAUUGGAAGGCAAGUUGUCCGCAGGGAACUUCCACUCCUCUUGCGCAAAGUCGCGUUGACAAUGGACUCCCC